AUUGAAGGCUGGCGGCAGGCCUAACACAUGCAAGUCUAGCGGUAGAGAGGAGCUUGCUUCCCUUGAGAGCGGCGGAUUGGUGAGUAAUGCCUAGGAAUCUGCCUAGUGGUGGGGGAUAACGUUCGGAAACGGACGCUAAUACCGCAUACGUCCUACGGGAGAAAGCGGGGGAUCUUCGGACCUCGCGCCAUUAGAUGAGCCUAGGUCGGAUUAGCUAGUUGGUGAGGUAAUGGCUCACCAAGGCGACGAUCCGCAACUGGUCUGAGAGGAUGAUCAGUCACACUGGAACUGAGACACGGCCCAGACUCCUACGGGAGGCAGCAGUGGGGAAUAUUGGACAAUGGGCGAAAGCCCUGAUCCAGCCAUGCCGCGUGUGUGAAGAAGGUCUUCCGAUUGUAAAGCACUUUAAGUUGGGAGGAAGG
RNAcentral lists this ribosomal RNA (422 nucleotides) under uncultured bacterium. Its description in RNAcentral is "bacterial SSU rRNA". It matches the Rfam family "Bacterial small subunit ribosomal RNA", at positions 30 to 451 of the family's 1533-position model. The record is from RNAcentral.